GAAUUGCAGAAUUCCGCGAAUCAUCGAGUUUUUGAACGCAAGUUGCGCCCGAGGCUCGUCUGAGGGCAUGCCUGCCUGAGCG
RNAcentral lists this ribosomal RNA (82 nucleotides) under Lejeunea cavifolia. Its description in RNAcentral is "partial 5.8S ribosomal RNA". It matches the Rfam family "5.8S ribosomal RNA", at positions 69 to 151 of the family's 154-position model. Rfam says of the family: 5.8S ribosomal RNA (5.8S rRNA) is a component of the large subunit of the eukaryotic ribosome. It is transcribed by RNA polymerase I as part of the 45S precursor that also contains 18S and 28S rRNA. Functionally, it is thought that 5.8S rRNA may be involved in ribosome translocation. The record is from RNAcentral. Lineage: Eukaryota; Viridiplantae; Streptophyta; Jungermanniopsida; Porellales; Lejeuneaceae.